GGAUUAGAUACCCUGGUAGUCCACGCUGUAAACGAUGAUUACUCGAUGUUGGCAAUACACAGUCAGCGUCCAAGCGAAAGUGAUAAGUAAUCCACCUGGGGAGUACGAUCGCAAGGUUGAAACUCAAAGGAAUUGACGGGGGCCCGCACAAGCGGUGGAGCAUGUGGUUUAAUUCGAUGAUACGCGAGGAACCUUACCAGGGCUUAAAUGCAGAACGACAGAGGUGGAAACACCUCCUUCUUCGGACGGACUGCAAGGUGCUGCAUGGUUGUCGUCAGCUCGUGCUG
Molecule: ribosomal RNA, 287 nt
Filed under: uncultured bacterium
Lineage: Bacteria
Description: partial 16S ribosomal RNA
Rfam family: Bacterial small subunit ribosomal RNA
Source: RNAcentral